AGCUCCAACAGCGUAUAUUGAAGUUGUUGCAGUUAAAAAGCUCGUAGUUGAAUUCCUGCCAAGGACGACGGGUCCGCCCUCUGGGUGAGUACCACGUUCGACCUGGGCAUCUUCUUGGGAAACGUGGCUGUACUUCAUUGUGCGGCGCGAGGCCCAGGACUUUUACCUUGAGGAAAUUAGAGUGUUUCAAGCAGGCUCACGCCUUGAAUACAUUAGCAUGGAAUAAUAUCAUAGGGCUGCUGCUUUAUUUUGUUGGUUUCUAGAGCUGUAGUAAUGAUUAAUAGGGAUAGUUGGGGGCAUUCGUAUUUAACUGUCAGAGGUGAAAUUCUUGGAUUUGUUAAGGACGGACUACUGCGAAAGCAUUUGCCAAGAAUGUUUUCAUUG
Molecule: ribosomal RNA, 384 nt
Filed under: Protoperidinium sp.
Lineage: Eukaryota; Dinophyceae; Peridiniales; Protoperidiniaceae
Description: partial small subunit ribosomal RNA
Rfam family: Eukaryotic small subunit ribosomal RNA
Source: RNAcentral